RNAcentral lists this ribosomal RNA (511 nucleotides) under uncultured bacterium. RNAcentral describes it as "bacterial SSU rRNA". It matches the Rfam family "Bacterial small subunit ribosomal RNA", at positions 16 to 518 of the family's 1533-position model. The record is from RNAcentral.
AUUAUGGCUCAGGAUGAACGCUAGCUACAGGCUUAACACAUGCAAGUCGAGGGGCAGCAUGGAGUUGCUGCAAACUCUGAUGGCGACCGGCGCACGGGUGAGUAACGCGUAUCCAACCUUCCCUAUAGUAGAGGAUAGCCCGGCGAAAGUCGGAUUAAUACUCUAUGUUUUCCGUUGCAGACAUCUAAGAUGGAACAAAGGCUUGCCGCUAUAGGAUGGGGAUGCGUCUGAUUAGAUAGUAGGCGGGUAACGGCCCACCUAGUCGACGAUCAGUAGGGGUUCUGAGAGGAAGGUCCCCCACAUUGGAACUGAGACACGGUCCAAACUCCUACGGGAGGCAGCAGUGAGGAAUAUUGGUCAAUGGGCGAGAGCCUGAACCAGCCAAGUAGCGUGCAAGGAUGACGGCCCUAUGGGUUGUAAACUGCUUUUAUAUGGGGAUAAAGUCACCCACGUGUGGGUGUUUGUAGGUACCAUAUGAAUAAGGACCGGCUAAUUCCGUGCCAGCAGCUGC